CCGCGGUAAUACGUAGGUGGCAAGCGUUGUCCGGAAUUAUUGGGCGUAAAGCGUACGCAGGCGGCGCGUUAAGUCGGGUGUGAAAGCCCGGGGCUCAACCCCGGAAUUGCAUUCGAUACUGGCGUGCUCGAGUGCGGGAGAGGGAAGCGGAAUUCCUGGUGUAGAGGUGAAAUUCGUAGAUAUCAGGAGGAACACCAGUGGCGAAAGCGGCUUCCUGGCCCGAUACUGACGCUCAUGUACGAAAGCGUGGGGAGCAAACAGG
Molecule: ribosomal RNA, 262 nt
Filed under: uncultured bacterium
Lineage: Bacteria
Description: partial 16S ribosomal RNA
Rfam family: Bacterial small subunit ribosomal RNA
Source: RNAcentral